UUUUUUAACAUUGGUAAUAAUGUAACUAAAUUAAUGUCAUUAUGAUCAGUGUUUGUACCAGUGACAAUAUCAAAUGUUUUAUUUCAAAUAUUGUUUCAAACACCUUGUAAGUUGUCUCCGUUCUUCUUAGUCAAAGCUGCUGCUCUCAUUUUGGAAGCUGCUGCGAGUUCUAGCAUGGCUUCAACUAUGGCAACACCACCAGCCUUGCGGUUUCUCCUGCGAGACGGUCCAGAACCACCAGAAGGUGCUGUCGGAAUACGCUUGUUGUGUCCGUUAAUGACGUGUACUUCGUCUCCAGAGCCGCCAGAGGAAAGUUCAUCAUCAUCAUCAUCACCAUCACCAGACAUCAUUCUUCAACAUGCAAAAACCAACGCAAGUGAUUCAGACAGAAGAGAAUGUGCGAAGCUUAGUACAAGACCUUAGCUCAAAGCAUCAAGUUUGAACAAGAAGAAGGUUUGGUUCUGAGAAAAAUUUGAGCGAUUGCUAAUGGCCUCGAACAUUAGGGAUUCUGACAAUUGAGUCCUGUCCCUUAGUUUUGUUUUCUUUUCAUUAGUCGCUCAAAACUUUCAACACUUUAUGUUUUUGGCGUCAUAUUUUAUCCGAUAUCAAAUUAGCCCAGAAUCCAAAAAUAUAAUUUAAUUUGUCUACUUGAGACGAUUAAUCAAGUGGCUAAUCUUCAAUAUCUCCACAAAAAAUAAUAAUUUAUCGACUUGAGAUGAUUAAUCAAGUGGCUAAUCUUCAAUAUCUCAGACUAAAGAUUAACAGAACCUCUUAAACUUAUUACUCAUGAUUCGCCAUGAGUUAAUCACACUGAUAAAUAAAAGAGAAUUGGAAAGAAGAAAGAAAAAUCCAAAGGGGAUUGAUUAUCUAUAAUCUUUACUAAAUUAACAAUCAAACCAUUUUUGCAUAAAGUUUACAAAAGAAAAGAACAAGAACACAAGAAGAGACUCAAAAGAAACUAUAAUCUCUAACAAUAGAUCAGAUAAAGACAUGAAAAGCUUUUUAUUUUCUCUUCAGCUGGGAGCCAAGAAAUGAACACGAGCAAGUGUGUACUCUUUCCCAGCAAUCCAAACACCAGUCUGUGACCAUUGUACAUCUUCCCAAUCCAGAUUCUCCUCCAACACCUGUUUCUCAAUUCCACAAACAUCAUCAUCAUCACUUGUUUUAUAAUUAACAAAAAAAUACAAGAAUUUUACUAAAUUAAUGUUAACCUCGACGUGAUCUGGUGGGAGUGGAAACCCGAUAUCCCGCAUAAGCUUCUGCGGGAGAGGUUUCUUACAUCGUGACCAACGGAAAACAUCAAUUACACUGUUGUCUGAAUCUGUAUCUGUUUUUUCACCGUCUGUUGUCACAUGAGGGAGAGGUUUCCUCCAUCGUAACCAACGGAAAACGUUUAAGGAAAACAUGACAGAGUUGUUAUUGUUAUCCAUCUCCUUAGCUUCUUCGGAUGAUGAGUGUUGUUGUUGGGAGGCUUGGAAUUCUUUCAUAGUCUUCUCUCCAGCGAAACAGAGCUCAUACCUAUUUGCCAUACAAAAGAGUUUGAUUUAGCAUGUAACAAUAUCUCAUUAAUGUUGUUUGAUAUAAACAUGUGUUUAAAUACCUGGAUGAAUGUGUUUCAAGGUACAAAACUUCUCCUUUCUUCAAGCGAGCAGAGGUGAAAAGAGGCUUUUUCAGACCCUUAUCGGCCACAGCGCUUAUGCUAUAUUUGAUCCUGCAAGAAACAAAAAAGAAAAGUAAAUCAAUGCGUGGGUAAAAAGUGAUCUUAGAAGGUAAAGAUUAUCUAAAGCAUUGUGCGGAAGUUUUCAGAGAGUUUACCAAGGUUCAUUGCAGAGGUUGUAUUGUAUUGUUACUUCUCGAACAAACCUUUGUUGCCGCUGACCAUUCUACAGAACGGUAAACAAGUCAUCAGUACUGAAACAUGUCUAAUCAAAUUUUGAAAUGCAAGUGAAGUGAGGGAUAGAGAAUCAGAGAUUUUAAAGUACCGAAGCUGCAGCUCUGGUGGUCAUAGACUUAUCAACAGCCAUUGGUGCAAGUGUUGGCUCUGAGGAGUGUGUAAGAGAGGGUUCCAGUUCUAUAGUUCCACCUCCUUUCUGAAAUAAAAACACCAGUAAGGACUUGAAAAAGAAUCCACUUUUUAAACUGGAUAUUAUGAACAUCCUGCCAAGGAAACAAGGAGGACAGAUAACAAAGAGAUGUCAAAUUAAUAACCUUAAGUAUAUAGCACCGCUCAACUUUGUAACUGCAUCCGAUUCCAGCUCCCCAUGAUCGAGAGCGGACAUUGUUCCUUAGCUUGGAGGUAUAGUCUUAAAAUAUAAUAUAUAUCGAAUAUAAAAAGUUAGUAUGAACAUGGAAAAGUCAAUAAAAGCACAAAGAUAAAAACCUAACUUACAAUCUUGUGACGGCAAGACUCUAAUGGUAGCACGCAACUCUUGCAAUGUCGGUGGAGGAGGGGAAGAUGUAGGACGACAAUAACCUGUAUGCAUGAGAACUAGAAGACAUACCAGAAUCAGUGUUAUGUUAGUUCAAAGCCAAGGCAUGAAAUGCAAAGAUUCUUUAGGACACGUACCAGCAACAAGAUCUGAAUCAUCUGUGUAUAUGUCUGUUCCCCAUAGCUGGCCACCUCUUACCUUCAUAAAAAUAAGCCAAAGGUCUCAAUAUACAAUAAAAAAAGAUUAUGAGAAAGUCUUUGGAUGUAUCUUCGUCUUACUCGGCGGUUAGUAGCAGUAACAUACUCAGCUGGAAUCUGAACUUCAAGAGUGGGGCCAUUACUUGCGAACUCACCACUUUUGUCAGGCUGAGAAGAUUCAUAUUCCUUCCACAAUUUAAUCAGUUCUUGCAUACAUUCCCCAACGUUGUAAACAACAACCGGAACCUCUGAUUCGCCUGGAUCAUUCAGUAAAACAAAAAUUCAACAAGCUGUCGCUCUGACCAAAACUAUGUUCCAUAUAAAAGUUGAUAAAAGCAGCAGAAACUUGAUACAUGUGAGCUCAACCUUAUACUAAUCUUAUACUUGAUAAAAAAAACAAUGCAGAGAUAUAAGCAACUUUAAGCAACACAAAUGAAGUAGCAUUGGGGAUUGAAACCGACUUUUUGGUCCAAUCAUUUUAUAUUUUAACAUUCUACCGUUACUCUGCAACCUAAAGGCAAGCCUAAGAAGGAAACCUCAUAGAUUAAUUAUCAAGUACAAGUGUGUCGCAGAUGACCAUCAUCAAUGCACAUAUAAAAACGAAUGCCAGUUUAACCGAUUAUUUUUCUUUCACUAUUGUUCACCAAGCAGUGCAAAUCGAUCCUUUCUCGAAGACAUAGUAACGAAUGAUUACCUUGUACCCUGCAAAGAAAACACACACACAAUCAAACAUGGAUGAUGCAUUAGAAACCAGAUUAGUGACUGACAAAAGUUUAAGGACUUAGACCAAUCAACUAACUUACAUGGUAAAAGAAACGAAGGGAAAAUAAUCUUCUUAACACAGAGAGUAAGGGAGGCGGCAGGGAAGAAUAUCAAAAGAGACGGCAAAUUUAGGUUUUCAAGGUGCAAAAUUUUCUUUACAGGCUUUUUAAAAGAAAAGAAAACAAUAAUGGUAAUGAGAUAUUCUCAACAAUAAUCAAUAUCGCCUGCAGAUUUUACUAAAUAUGUUCAAAUUUCAACCAAUCCUGGCGUCUCUACUCUCUCCAAAAGGUAAAAAAAAUUAUAGGAUUAAGCUAAGAUAUGAGAGGCUAAUACUAAUUAGACAGCGUCUAAUAUAAAUGCGUAAGACAAAGAGACGCACGCAACCUUCGUAGUUGUCCUGACUCCGUGAACGGACACGGUCGUGGUUUGUGGGCUGUCACAUAUUCCUCUUGUGCAGGUUUUGGCAGAUGCUUCACCGAGCUCUUUCUCGUUCUGUGAGACCUCUUCAGCAUCAGUCUCUAGCUCUCUUUUAAUAUGAUCUUUUUUUUCUUCUCCUUCUUUCUUUCUCCAUCGUUCUGCUCCACCCUCUCUCUCGUUUCCCACCUAUCGGUUUAUUUUUCUUCGCUUCCAGUCUCUUUUGGUUCGCUCAUGACACACUAUCAGCAAACAUUGAUCCUCUGCGGUCAUUUCUAUCCUUAUCACGGGAUGCAACACACAGAUCCACAUUUGCGUUUGAACCUUCACCUCUCUUCCCUCUAUGUUAAUCCUUCUACUCUUUCCAAGCCAAGUGAGCAUGCCCAUCCUUAGUCUCAGCCUUUGUGUCGUUAUAGUUUCUGACCCUCCCUAUCAACACAUUGUUGAAAUGGCGGCUAAUGGUUUCACAAGAGAGGUGGAACCUCUCUUGUAUAACUCUGAUUCGCUGAUUAUGACCUAUAAUGCUUAAGAAUAUAGCAACCUGCUCUUCCACCAGAACAGUGAUGGUAUCUCUCAGCAGUCCUUGCUCUCUAAAAGUGUCGGAUAGUUUGUGAAACAGACGUUUAUCCAUCCGAAGCACUUCCCUGCAAUCUUCAACAGGUCCUUGAAGCAAGUCUUUUAAAUAUGUACCUCUUGUAGAAGGCGAAGUUCCCGGAGGUUGGUUUACUAGACUUUGGUAGUAUAAGUAACCAGCAGCUGCAGCAACUAGCUCCAUCUCAUCUAGUUCUAAGUCUAAAUCGAUGCUACUAGUGGAGGAAUCUGAAAGUAUAGCCAAAAGUACCAGUCAGUGUUCUAAAAAUCGGUCUAUGCGGAGUCUAGCCGUCUGCUUAAGUGGCAAAUCGGAUUUAAAUGGUUUAAGUGUUUGUCCGACUAAUCAAUAAUCCUCUAUAAAGCUCCUAAUUACGGUCUAGCUAUUUUUUUAACAUUGGUAAUAAUGUAACUAAAUUAAUGUCAUUAUGAUCAGUGUUUGUACCAGUGACAAUAUCAAAUGUUUUAUUUCAAAUAUUGUUUCAAACACCUUGUAAGUUGUCUCCGUUCUUCUUAGUCAAAGCUGCUGCUCUCAUUUUGGAAGCUGCUGCGAGUUCUAGCAUGGCUUCAACUAUGGCAACACCACCAGCCUUGCGGUUUCUCCUGCGAGACGGUCCAGAACCACCAGAAGGUGCUGUCGGAAUACGCUUGUUGUGUCCGUUAAUGACGUGUACUUCGUCUCCAGAGCCGCCAGAGGAAAGUUCAUCAUCAUCAUCAUCACCAUCACCAGACAUCAUUCUUCAACAUGCAAAAACCAACGCAAGUGAUUCAGAC
This 5164-nucleotide long non-coding RNA is filed under the name Brassica rapa (field mustard). RNAcentral describes it as "long non-coding RNA (BRAP_LNC007974)". The record is from RNAcentral. Lineage: Eukaryota; Viridiplantae; Streptophyta; Magnoliopsida; Brassicales; Brassicaceae.